AGAGUUUGAUCCUGGCUCAGGAUAAACGCUGGCGGCGUGCCUAACACAUGCAAGUCGAACGCCCUUAGCAAUAAGGGAGUGGCGGACGGGUGAGUAACACAUGGGUACCUACCCCGAGGUGAGGAAUACCGGCGAGAAAUCGCCGACAAUACCGCAUAUGCUUCUUGGGAAGCAAAGCUCGCAAGGGCGCCUUGGGAUGG
Molecule: ribosomal RNA, 200 nt
Filed under: uncultured bacterium
Lineage: Bacteria
Description: partial 16S ribosomal RNA
Rfam family: Bacterial small subunit ribosomal RNA
Source: RNAcentral